AGUGAACGCCGGCGGUAGGCCUAACGCAUGCAAGUCGAACGGCAGCACAGUAAGAGCUUGCUCUUACGGGUGGCGAGUGGCGGACGGGUGAGGAAUACAUCGGAAUCUACUUUUUCGUGGGGGAUAACGUAGGGAAACUUACGCUAAUACCGCAUACGACCUACGGGUGAAAGCAGGGGAUCUUCGGACCUUGCGCGAUUGAAUGAGCCGAUGUCGGAUUAGCUAGUUGGCGGGGUAAAGGCCCACCAAGGCGACGAUCCGUAGCUGGUCUGAGAGGAUGAUCAGCCACACUGGAACUGAGACACGGUCCAGACUCCUACGGGAGGCAGCAGUGGGGAAUAUUGGACAAUGGGCGCAAGCCUGAUCCAGCCAUACCGCGUGGGUGAAGAAGGCCUUCGGGUUGUAAAGCCCUUUUGUUGGGAAAGAAAAGCAGCAGGUUAAUACCCUGCUGUUCCGACGGUACCCAAAGAAUAAGCACCGGCUAACUUCGUG
RNAcentral lists this ribosomal RNA (492 nucleotides) under uncultured bacterium. Its description in RNAcentral is "partial 16S ribosomal RNA". It matches the Rfam family "Bacterial small subunit ribosomal RNA", at positions 29 to 507 of the family's 1533-position model. The record is from RNAcentral.